CCUACGGGUGGCAGCAGUGAGGAAUAUUGGUCAAUGGACGGGAGUCUGAACCAGCCAAGUAGCGUGAAGGAUGACUGCCCUAUGGGUUGUAAACUGCUUUUAUAUGGGAAUAAAAUGUUCCACGUGUGGGGUUUUGUAUGUACCGUAUGAAUAAGGAUCGGCUAACUCCGUGCCAGCAGCCGCGGUAAUACGGAGGAGCCGAGCGUUAUCCGGAUUUAUUGGGUUUAAAGGGAGCGUAGGUGGGUGGUUAAGUCAGUUGUGAAAGUGUGCGGCUCAACCGUACAAUUGCAGUUGAAACUGGAAGUCUUGAGUACAGUAGAGGUGGGCGGAAUUCGUGGUGUAGCGGUGAAAUGCUUAGAUAUCACGAAGAACCCCGAUUGCGAAGGCAGCUUACUGGAGUGCAACUGACGCUGAGGCUCGAAAGUGUGGGUAUCAAACAGGAUUAGAUACCCUAGUAGUC
RNAcentral lists this ribosomal RNA (460 nucleotides) under uncultured bacterium. Its description in RNAcentral is "partial 16S ribosomal RNA". It matches the Rfam family "Bacterial small subunit ribosomal RNA", at positions 338 to 795 of the family's 1533-position model. The record is from RNAcentral.